GUCGUGGUGGCCGACUGGUUAAGGCGUUUGACUCGAAUUCAAAUGGGUUCUACCCGCACAGGUUCGAAUUCUGUACACGACG
This 82-nucleotide transfer RNA is filed under the name Dreissena polymorpha. Its description in RNAcentral is "transfer RNA serine (anticodon CGA)". It matches the Rfam family "tRNA". Rfam says of the family: Transfer RNA (tRNA) molecules are approximately 80 nucleotides in length. Their secondary structure includes four short double-helical elements and three loops (D, anti-codon, and T loops). The record is from Rfam by way of RNAcentral. Lineage: Eukaryota; Metazoa; Mollusca; Bivalvia; Myida; Dreissenidae.